GUCGGGAUAGCUCAACUGGUAAAGCAAAGGACUGAAAAUCCUCGUGUCACAUUUUAAAU
RNAcentral lists this transfer RNA (59 nucleotides) under Calophyllum inophyllum. RNAcentral describes it as "partial tRNA-Phe". Lineage: Eukaryota; Viridiplantae; Streptophyta; Magnoliopsida; Malpighiales; Calophyllaceae. The record is from RNAcentral.